ACGUAGGGUGCAAGCGUUAAUCGGAAUUACUGGGCGUAAAGCGUGCGCAGGCGGUUAUGCAAGACAGAUGUGAAAUCCCCGGGCUUAACCUGGGAACUGCAUUUGUGACUGCAUAGCUAGAGUGCGGCAGAGGGGGAUGGAAUUCCGCGUGUAGCAGUGAAAUGCGUAGAUAUGCGGAGGAACACCGAUGGCGAAGGCAAUCCCCUGGGCCUGCACUGACGCUCAUGCACGAAAGCGUGGGGAGCAAACAGGAUUAGAUACCCUGGUAGUCCACGCCCUAAACGAUGUCAACUAGGUGUU
Molecule: ribosomal RNA, 300 nt
Filed under: uncultured bacterium
Lineage: Bacteria
Description: bacterial SSU rRNA
Rfam family: Bacterial small subunit ribosomal RNA
Source: RNAcentral